Molecule: non-coding RNA, 29 nt
Filed under: Mus musculus (house mouse)
Lineage: Eukaryota; Metazoa; Chordata; Mammalia; Rodentia; Muridae
Source: RNAcentral
UGUUGUAGGAGGUGUGGCCUUGUGGUUGU